RNAcentral lists this ribosomal RNA (112 nucleotides) under Phascolarctos cinereus (koala). Lineage: Eukaryota; Metazoa; Chordata; Mammalia; Diprotodontia; Phascolarctidae. The record is from RNAcentral.
AUAUUUGGUGAGUCUAUUGAACACAUCUAAUCUCAUCUGAUCUCAGAAGCUAAGCAGGAUUGAGCCUGGUUAGUACUUGGAGCCCACCUGAAAAUAUUGGGUACUGUAGGCG